GGUAGUGUAGCUCAGUGGUAAAGUGCUUAAAAUCAUGCUUAAGGCCCUGGGUUCAGUCCUCCAGCACUACAA
Molecule: transfer RNA, 72 nt
Filed under: Marmota monax (woodchuck)
Lineage: Eukaryota; Metazoa; Chordata; Mammalia; Rodentia; Sciuridae
Description: tRNA.Undet
Source: RNAcentral